UCGACAAGCACAGUCGCAUUUUGCAGCAAGCAUGGGUUGAAGACCUAUUCUACCCCGGAUCUUCACUGGUCUAUUUCUGUUAGUGUAUACACGCCCGGGUAUGACGUCAGCUGACAUAGCGGAGUUAUGUCAACAGCCAUGUAGUUCCUUGUGCUCGGUGUGUCUGUUAUCCUCGCUUUUGGGGUCGUCAGCAGCGAACGGUGCAGCGGCAGUGACGCCAGCACCUGCUCCCGAGAGAAGUGCGACACCAACUACCAUGCGUCAAUGACGAGUGCACCUGCCUCGUCUCUGCCUGCUUCACCGGCCAAGCUGUUAUCUACAGCGAGACCUGCAGGGAUCAGAACGACUGUAAUCACGUGACAUGUGACAGUUCCUUAAAGUUGGGCUGCUCUCAUGGAGAAUGUACCUGCCUGACUUGCGCCACUGCUGGUUCCUGCGCUCAAGUGGAGGAAAAUAACAUUCAUCUAAUACUUACCGCCGCUUUUUGUAAACUAUAAAGAAGAACCAUACAUUGUGAUUGAUUUGUGUUUCCCGAAACCACCGGGUUUUAAAGAAAUAUAAUAGGUUUGGAGUAGGUUAAAUGUGGAAAAUGUCUGACAAGUAUGGCAUCAUGAUAUAUGCGAGUGGGAUAGCUACUGUUUGGUGAUCAAAUUUAAUUCUUAGUGUUGUUUCUACUAAGAUGGGUUUUUGAUAAUAAGAGCUCACCUGGAAAGAUAUUCACCAGAUUAUACUAUCAGCAAAGACAGAAACUUAAAACAAGUUGCUGUAUGCAUCGACAUUCAAAUAUUUUGAAUUAUUUUCUGCAUUAAUAGCCAGGAAAUAAAAACGUCAACGCUAGAGAAUAAUCACUCUCGAUUAUCCCACUAAACAGAUACCACUGGGUGUAAAAAGCAAACUAGUGGAAUAUUUUAAUAAAAAUGGAUCACUGAAAUCAUGGAUGACACCAGGUGUUCGCGAAAAGGACAAGCCAGUCCUGCCCUAUCAGAAGCAUCCGCCACAAUUUGCAAAAAGGUAUGUAUUUGUUGCCUGACACUCCACAGCCAUUCCCCUGUCAUGCAAUGCGUCAUGUAAACAAACCAGACUAUCAAGUGAAGGUCAGAAAUCCAGUCACACGAUAGAGCAUUUACUGAUUUUGUUGAAACCAAAAAAAAUAUUUUAAUAUAUUGUUAAAAAGAUUCUUGAAUAAAAUUCAAAAACAGGAAGCAACAAUUUCAUGUACGCUCUGACAUGGACUGUAAUAUAUUAUUAAUGUUAUUAUACGCCAAGGAGUGUCAUGUACAACAUAUUGGACAAACAGAGUGCUUGAGAGACAGAAUAGGCGUCCAUAAACAGAUAAAGGACCCCAUGCAAGGUUCAUCCCCUUAAGCGCUCGACAAAUGCGCAGCAGGAAAAGAAAUAGAAUUUAAGAUAUACCCUUUCUGUAAAAUGAAUACUGCUGAUGCCCAGCAGUGUAAAGAUAAAAAACUGUUUUCAUUAAAAGGUUGUGCCCAUCUUUAAAUAAGUAGCGCAUGGAAUAUGAACUAUAUUUGUAUUUAUUGUGAAAGUUACCACUGUCAUUGUAAAGACGCAGUCUUAUAACUAUAAUCACUUCUCCCUGAAGAUACAAUUGAAAGUGAGGUGAAAUGGGCUUUAACGUCGCGUCCAAGAUUGCACUUAUAUAGCGAGGGGGGUGUACGUGUGUGUGUUUGUGUGGCUGCUUGUACUAGUCCGGACUGAUGCCGAUUUAU
Molecule: long non-coding RNA, 1727 nt
Filed under: Haliotis rufescens (red abalone)
Lineage: Eukaryota; Metazoa; Mollusca; Gastropoda; Lepetellida; Haliotidae
Description: uncharacterized LOC125384288
Source: RNAcentral